UAUGAUGUGUUAAUUUGAAGAAACUACAAAAUUUUCUUUUUCUUUUCUAGUGAUUCAUAAUUCGAAGCAUUAAACAAAACAACUAAAUGACACAUCAAUAAGAAGAAUCUAUACAGUUUCGAUUGAUCCUAACCAUUGGCAAAACUUUCAUGGAUUUAAUAAAUGUUACAAGAAUUAUAAAAUCAGUUCUGCAAAAGCAGAUUCAACCCUAGGGGAGAAAACGCUCUUAAGAAAUAUAACAUGAUGACAUCAAUGAAGAUAUCUUUCUAACAAAGGAACAGGUCUGUGUGUGAGGUUGACAGAACUGCCAAGGUGCAAGCAAGGAGAGAAGCAUCCUAGAGAAUCU
This 346-nucleotide long non-coding RNA is filed under the name Ictidomys tridecemlineatus (thirteen-lined ground squirrel). RNAcentral's name for it is "lncRNA (ENSSTOG00000033691.1)". The record is from RNAcentral. Lineage: Eukaryota; Metazoa; Chordata; Mammalia; Rodentia; Sciuridae.